AAGGUCUUAUCUGCCCGGUGAAUAUUUUUAACGGCCGCAGUACCUUGACUGUGCUAAGGUAGCAUAAUAAAUUGACUUUUAAUUGAGGCCUGGAAUAAAUGAAUAUACGUAAUAGUAGCUGUCUCUUUAAUAUAUUUAAAAGUUACUUAAGAAAUGAAAAUUUUUCUUUAAAUUUAAUAGACGAGAAGACCCUAGGAGUUUAUAAUAAUCAAUAUAUUUUGUUGGGGCGACAGUUUAAGAGUAAUAUAAACUUAAAUUAAAAUUUUGUUAUUUUUCGAUUUUUUUAGUUAAAAUUAAGCUACCCUAGGGAUAACAGCACUAUCUUUAUAAGGUUUGUGACCUCGAUGUUGGAUUAGGAACUUUAAAUAUUAACCGUAUUUAAAGGUUGUUCUGUUCGAACAUUUAUUACCUACAUGAUCUGAGUUCAAACCGGAGCUCCC
RNAcentral lists this ribosomal RNA (440 nucleotides) under Troglaegopis mosorensis. Its description in RNAcentral is "partial 16S ribosomal RNA". It matches the Rfam family "Archaeal large subunit ribosomal RNA", at positions 1941 to 2697 of the family's 2987-position model. The record is from RNAcentral. Lineage: Eukaryota; Metazoa; Mollusca; Gastropoda; Stylommatophora; Zonitidae.